GAUUCCCCUAGUAACUGCGAGUGAAGCGGGAAAAGCUCAAAUUUAAAAUCUGGCAGCUUUGGUUGCCCGAGUUGUAGUCUGGAGAAGCGUUUUCUGUGUUGGACCGUGUACAAGUCUCUUGGAACAGAGCGUCAUAGAGGGUGAGAAUCCCGUCUUUGAUACGGACUGCCAGUGCUUUGUGAUGCGCUCUCAAAGAGUCGAGUUGUUUGGGAAUGCAGCUCAAAAUGGGUGGUAAAUUCCAUCUAAAGCUAAAUAUUGGCGAGAGACCGAUAGCGAACAAGUACCGUGAGGGAAAGAUGAAAAGCACUUUGGAAAGAGAGUUAAACAGUACGUGAAAUUGCUGAAAGGGAAACGCUUGAAGUCAGUCGCGUUGUCCAGAACUCAGCCUGGCUUUUGCCUGGUGCAUUUUCUGGUUAACGGGCCAGCAUCAAUUUUGACCGCUGGAUAAAGGCCUUGGGAAUGUGGCUCUCUCGGGAGUGUUAUAGCCCAUGGUUGCAUACAGCGGUUGGGAUUGAGGAUCUCAGCAUGCCUUUAUGGUCGGGGUUCGCCCACGUUCAUGCUUAGGAUGCUGGC
This 573-nucleotide ribosomal RNA is filed under the name Ceriporiopsis consobrina. RNAcentral describes it as "eukaryotic LSU rRNA". It matches the Rfam family "Eukaryotic large subunit ribosomal RNA", at positions 73 to 630 of the family's 3401-position model. Lineage: Eukaryota; Fungi; Basidiomycota; Agaricomycetes; Polyporales; Meruliaceae. The record is from RNAcentral.